GACGAACGCUGGCGGCGUGCUUAACACAUGCAAGUCGAACGGAAAGACCCUGCUUUUGUGGGGUGCUCGAGUGGCGAACGGGUGAGUAACACGUGAGUAACCUGCCCUUGACUUUGGGAUAACUUCAGGAAACUGGGGCUAAUACCGGAUAGGAGCUCCUGCUGCAUGGUGGGGGGUUGGAAAGUUUCGGCGGUUGGGGAUGGACUCGCGGCUUAUCAGCUUGUUGGUGGGGUAGUGGCUUACCAAGGCUUUGACGGGUAGCCGGCCUGAGAGGGUGACCGGCCACAUUGGGACUGAGAUACGGCCCAGACUCCUACGGGAGGCAGCAGUGGGGAAUAUUGCACAAUGGGCGGAAGCCUGAUGCAGCAACGCCGCGUGCGGGAUGACGGCCUUCGGGUUGUAAACCGCUUUCGCCUGUGACGAAGCGUGAGUGACGGUAAUGGGUAAAGAAGCACCGGCUAACUACGUG
RNAcentral lists this ribosomal RNA (469 nucleotides) under uncultured bacterium. RNAcentral describes it as "partial 16S ribosomal RNA". It matches the Rfam family "Bacterial small subunit ribosomal RNA", at positions 28 to 507 of the family's 1533-position model. The record is from RNAcentral.